This 497-nucleotide ribosomal RNA is filed under the name uncultured bacterium. RNAcentral's name for it is "partial 16S ribosomal RNA". It matches the Rfam family "Bacterial small subunit ribosomal RNA", at positions 28 to 507 of the family's 1533-position model. The record is from RNAcentral.
GAUGAACGCUGGCGGCGUGCCUAAUACAUGCAAGUCGAGCGAACAGACGAGGAGCUUGCUCCUCUGACGUUAGCGGCGGACGGGUGAGUAACACGUGGAUAACCUACCUAUAAGACUGGGAUAACUUCGGGAAACCGGAGCUAAUACUGGAUAAUAUAUUGAACCGCAUGGUUCAAUAGUGAAAGACGGUUUUGCUGUCACUUAUAGAUGGAUCCGCGUCGCAUUAGCUAGUUGGUAAGGUAACGGCUUACCAAGGCAACGAUGCGUAGCCGACCUGAGAGGGUGAUCGGCCACACUGGAACUGAGACACGGUCCAGACUCCUACGGGAGGCAGCAGUGGGGAAUCUUCCGCAAUGGGCGAAAGCUUGACGGAGCAACGCCGCGUGAGUGAUGAAGGUCUUCGGAUCGUAAAACUCUGUUAUUAGGGAAGAACAAAUGUGUAAGUAACUAUGCACGUCUUGACGGUACCUAAUCAGAAAGCCACGGCUAACUACGUG